UCUCUACUUGCGUAGGCAGUCGAUCUAGAGUUCCCACCAUUACGUGCUGGUAACUAGACCCAGGGGUUGCGCUCGUUGCUGGACUUAACCAAACACCUCACGGCACGAGCUGACGACAGCCAUGCAGCACCUGUAACACCCCCCUUGCGGGUACACCACUUUCAUGGCUUUAGAUGUCCUUUCAAGCCUAGGUAAGGUUCUUCGCGUUGCAUCGAAUUAAACCACAUGCUCCACUGCUUGUGCGGGCCCCCGUCAAUUCCUUUGAGUUUCACCCUUGCGAGCGUACUCCCGCGCAUGGCCGACCAUGCGGGUGGAUCACUUAACGCGUUAGCUUCGAGCGCAUGAUCGAUCAUGCUCCCGACCUUGCGGCCGACAUCAAGUGAUCAUCGUUUAGGGCAUG
RNAcentral lists this unclassified non-coding RNA (400 nucleotides) under uncultured Ignavibacteria bacterium. Its description in RNAcentral is "contains 16S-23S intergenic spacer region". Lineage: Bacteria; Pseudomonadati; Ignavibacteriota; Ignavibacteria. The record is from RNAcentral.